Megalops atlanticus (tarpon) is the source of this 69-nucleotide non-coding RNA. The record is from the annotation of a GenBank genome assembly. Lineage: Eukaryota; Metazoa; Chordata; Actinopteri; Elopiformes; Megalopidae.
GCCUAUGGCUCAAUUGGUAGAGCAUCGCACUAGCUACGCCAAGAUUGUGGGUUCGAUCCCCAGAGAACA